Molecule: ribosomal RNA, 328 nt
Filed under: uncultured eukaryote
Lineage: Eukaryota
Description: partial 18S ribosomal RNA
Rfam family: Eukaryotic small subunit ribosomal RNA
Source: RNAcentral
CCCUUAGAUGUCCUGGGCCGCACGCGCGUUACACUGAUGCAUUCAACGAGCUUAUAACCUUGGCCGAGAGGCCUGGGCAAUCUUGUUAACGUGCAUCGUGAUAGGGAUAGAUUAUUGAAAUUAUUAAUCUUGAACGAGGAAUUCCUAGUAAACGCAGAUCAUCAAUCUGCAUUGAUUACGUCCCUGCCCUUUGUACACACCGCCCGUCGCACCUACCGAUUGGAUGGUCCGGUGAAGCCUCGGGAUUGUGGUCCUUGCCGCUUUAUUGUGGCGUGACCGCGAGAACUUGUCUAAACCUUNUNAUCUAGNGGAAGGUGAANUUGUANCA